RNAcentral lists this ribosomal RNA (348 nucleotides) under uncultured bacterium. RNAcentral describes it as "bacterial SSU rRNA". It matches the Rfam family "Bacterial small subunit ribosomal RNA", at positions 1 to 334 of the family's 1533-position model. The record is from RNAcentral.
UCUAGACACGUCAGAGUUUGUAGUCCUGGCUCAGGAUGAACGACUAGCUACAGGCUUAACACAUGCAAGUCGAGGGCGAGCAUGGGCUUAGCUUGCUAAGCCCGAUGGCGACCGGCGCACGGUGAGUAACACGUAUCCAACCUUCCGGUAACUCCGGUAUAGCCUUUCGAAAGAAAGAUUAAUCCCGGAUAGUAUGGUGAUUCCGCAUGGUUUCUCCAUUAAAGGAUUCCGGUUACCGAUGGGGAUGCGUUCCAUUAGGCAGUUGGCGGGGUAACGGCCCACCAAACCUACGAUGGAUAGGGGUUCUGAGAGGAAGGUCCCCCACAUUGGAACUGAGACACGGUCCAA